CGACCUGCACGAAUGGCGUAACGAUGGGGGCGCUGUCUCUACCCGAGACUCAGUGAAAUUGAAAUCGCCGUGAAGAUGCGGUGUAUCCGCGGCUAGACGGAAAGACCCCGUGAACCUUUACUAUAGCUUCACAGUGAACUUUGAGCAUGUUUGUGUAGGAUAGCUGGGAGGCUUUGAAGUGGGAACGCCAGUUCUCAUGGAGCCAACCUUGAAAUACCAGCCUGACAUGUUUGAGGUUCUAACUUGGUCCCCUUAUCGGGGAUGAGGACACUGUGUGGUGGGUAGUUUGACUGGGGCGG
Molecule: ribosomal RNA, 299 nt
Filed under: uncultured Phaeocystis
Lineage: Eukaryota; Haptophyta; Phaeocystales; Phaeocystaceae
Description: partial Bacterial large subunit ribosomal RNA
Rfam family: Bacterial large subunit ribosomal RNA
Source: RNAcentral